Molecule: transfer RNA, 74 nt
Filed under: Thermocrinis sp.
Lineage: Bacteria; Pseudomonadati; Aquificota; Aquificia; Aquificales; Aquificaceae
Description: tRNA-Arg
Rfam family: tRNA
About the family: Transfer RNA (tRNA) molecules are approximately 80 nucleotides in length. Their secondary structure includes four short double-helical elements and three loops (D, anti-codon, and T loops).
Source: RNAcentral
GUCCCCGUAGCUCAGGAGGAUAGAGCGCGAGAUUCCUAAUCUCGAGGCCGGAGGUUCGACUCCUCCCGGGGACG